RNAcentral lists this ribosomal RNA (425 nucleotides) under uncultured bacterium. Its description in RNAcentral is "partial 16S ribosomal RNA". It matches the Rfam family "Bacterial small subunit ribosomal RNA", at positions 354 to 796 of the family's 1533-position model. The record is from RNAcentral.
GUGGGGAAUCUUGCGCAAUGGGCGAAAGCCUGACGCAGCCAUGCCGCGUGGAUGAUGAAGGUCUUAGGAUUGUAAAAUCCUUUCACCGGUGAAGAUAAUGACUGUAGCCGGAGAAGAAGCCCCGGCUAACUUCGUGCCAGCAGCCGCGGUAAUACGAAGGGGGCUAGCGUUGCUCGGAUUUACUGGGCGUAAAGGGCGCGUAGGCGGACAUUUAAGUCAGGGGUGAAAUCCCUGGGCUCAACCUCGGAACUGCCUUUGAUACUGGGUGUCUUGAGUAUGAGAGAGGUGUGUGGAACUCCGAGUGUAGAGGUGAAAUUCGUAGAUAUUCGGAAGAACACCAGUGGCGAAGGCGACACACUGGCUCAUUACUGACGCUGAGGCGCGAAAGCGUGGGGAGCAAACAGGAUUAGAUACCCCUGUAGUCC